RNAcentral lists this ribosomal RNA (488 nucleotides) under uncultured bacterium. RNAcentral describes it as "bacterial SSU rRNA". It matches the Rfam family "Bacterial small subunit ribosomal RNA", at positions 39 to 518 of the family's 1533-position model. The record is from RNAcentral.
AGCGAUAGGCUUAACACAUGCAAGCAGGGCAGCACGGGCAGCAAUGUUGGUGGCGACCGGCGCACGGGUGCGUAACACGUAUGCAACCUUCCUGUAAGUGUGGGAUAGCCUCCUGAAAGGGAGAUUAAUACCGCAUAACAUGUAGAAUCUGCAUGGAUUUUACAUCAAACAUUUAUGGCUUACAGAUGGGCAUGCGUUCCAUUAGGCAGUUGGUGAGGUAACGGCUCACCAAACCUACGAUGGAUAGGGGUUCUGAGAGGAAGGUCCCCCACACUGGAACUGAGACACGGUCCAGACUCCUACGGGAGGCAGCAGUGAGGAAUAUUGGUCAAUGGGCGAGAGCCUGGACCAGCCAAAAAUCGCGUGAAGGAAGACGGCCCUAUGGGUUGUAAACUUCUUUUACAGGGGAAUAAAGUGCUCCACGUCGUGGUACCGUUUUGUAUGUACCUUUGUGAAUAAGCAUUGGCUAACUCCGUGCCAGCCGCCGC